Molecule: long non-coding RNA, 11341 nt
Organism: Peromyscus californicus insignis
Lineage: Eukaryota; Metazoa; Chordata; Mammalia; Rodentia; Cricetidae
Exons: 11
Source: RefSeq, a predicted model, not a curated record
CUUGAAUGCACCACCAUGCCUGAGUGUACCAAAGAGUGCCUGUGGGACUUCUGAGAUGCAGAAAUGAAGGCUGCAUCUACCACCCGAGUGAGAAGCUGUGACCGCCUGGUGGAUAAUCAGCAGCACCACGCACAUAACAUCUGGUGGAAAGGAUCCCCUGCCCCACCCCUGUCCCUGUCCCCAGCUCCCUUGAGGACCCGUGUCUUCCUACAUUCUUGUGUCUCCUGAGUCUUGCCAGUGUCUGUCUAUGGGAACCAAGGCCUAAGGCACCAUGUGACCCAAAAUCAUCCCAGCAACCUCCUGCUGCUCCUGAUCUGAAGUGACAAGCCGCUUUCACCUCCUUCCGCUCGGAGAAGGGAGCUGAGGUCCAGGCUGUUCUUUCCAUCACCCCCUCCACCCUGAGGGUGACAGGGUAACUUCAAAUCUAACCCGAGCUGUCGGGAUGGACAGUCCACGAAACCUGGGGCUUUCCAAAGGUGGCACAGGCCAGAGGGAGACAUGAGAUCGGAAGAGUGACAAGAAAUGACCGCUCCGCCUGUCACUGAGCAGAAGGACCUGACCAUAAGGAACAAUGACUGGACAAGCGCCAAGGUAUUGAGGGGGAGAACUAAGUCCCCAGAGAGAAAGCACAGCUCCCCAACAGGGUCUCCUGGUCGCGGGAUGCCGAGUAAAUGUAGCUGGUCCACGAGCCUCCCAGGAUUCUCCUGCCCCUGUCUCCCACUGCGUUAUCGGAGCACUGGGAUUCCAGACGUGCGCUUCCACACCUGAUUUCCACGGGUGUAUGAGCUCAGGUUCUCACGCUUGCCUAGCCAGCACUGACCUGCUUGGCCAUAUUUCCAGUGCAGCCCUGCUUCUCUCUCUCUCCUCAUGCUCUCUCCAUUCUCUUUUUUGUCUGUCUCCUCCUCACUUCGGCCUGUUUUUCAGCUUCUCUUUCCACAAUCCCUUCAAAGACAAGAAAGCUGUUUGUCUCCUCUCUCUCCUUACAUGUCUCUGCUUCACUCACUUGCUGCAGGGCCCCUGCCUUCCCGGAUGGAGGCCCGCAGGGACCUCACAAGCACAUGGGGGCAGAGGCCUGGUCUGGGACAGGAGCAUGAAGAAGGCAAAGACAAGUGGAAUCCGGUAUUGAUUGGGUUCUGUGACUCACAGCCUCAGGGGAGGGACCUGGGAGAGUGACGUCAUUGCUGGAAUUGGCACUGGCGCCCAACUUCCCUGAGACCUCUUCUUGCCUUUGUGACUUCUCUAUACCUCUCCACUGCAGGGAAGGGCUGGGGAAGCAAGGUUCACCUUCGGUGACGUUCAGAACUACCACACAGUUUUCUUGGGUGGAGGCCUUCCCACAUCCUCACCUCCACCUCCUCUGGUGGGUAUACUAAUGUGCACGUGGGCACUCGCAGUCUCACAUGUAUGCACACUUCUGAUAUGUGUGCACAGCUCAUGUGUAUGCCAGCACACACACACACACACACACACACACACACACACACACACACACAGAAGUCACAUGUACGCCCACCUGCCAUCUGCUUCUGACAGUCGGGGGAACCAUGUAAAUGAGGCUUCUGAACAAUUCGAGGGGACUGUGCUGGAGGUGAGGGGCAAUCUGAGGAAGGACCCCAUAUGCUCCUGUCUGCUGGCAUCUUGAUGACGUGUGCCUCCUGAUUUAGGAGCCGCUCCUAGGAGCCCAACAUCAGGGAGAGCAUGUAAGUCCUUGAGAAAAUGUGCUUCCAAUUUCAUAACUGAAGGGAAACUGGUUAAGACUUGGGAAUGUAGAGAGAAAGAGGGUCUGAGCAGGGCCAGAGGCUUCAGGAAAGAUAAUGCCUGCCUUUCGCUCUGUACUUAGGGAAGAGAGUUUUGUGUGCUUGUUUUCUCCUCCUUUCUUAACUAAGUCCCAGGAAUCCAGCUUGAGUUAGAACAGAGGAAGGAAGGGUUCCCAAACAUGUGUGUGAAUAUUAAUGUUAUGGAAAUCACAUGCAAAUUAAUCAGACACAAAAAUAAAUAGCUGAUUAAGUCUUUAAAAUGAACAAUUAGCAUGAGAUGAAAGCCAUUGGAGGAGCCACGCCUGGUACCCGGGUGACUUCUAGAGGCUGGGCCUUGGAUGCAGAGUCCUCUGGAAACCCCGCCCACUAUGGCUGGUGGGGAUGCUUCUGGUUAUAAGCAACUUGCUGAUGGACCUAUCAAAGGUCCACCUAGCAUUUCCAGGAAGCUGAUAGAGCUUAGGCGUCACAGCACUCCUCAGAUCUUUUCCAAAGCCUGCACUUAAUUUUGUGGGGUUAUUAUUACUAUUACUAUUACUAUUACUAAAAUGAUUUUACUUGUAUGGGUGUCUUGCCUGCACAUGUAUCUGUACACAUGUGCAGAGGCCAUAAAAAGUGUUCGGAUCUCUGGAACUGGAUUAUAGGUGAUUGUGAGCCACUCUGUGGGUACUAGGAACCAAACCUGGGUCCUCUGUGUUAGGUCCCAACCCUUAAAAUGACAAUCUGGGCUCAGCUCACACUAGAUUCUGACUCUGGCAAACAGGAAUAUUGCUGGAGAAUAACACUCAGCAUUCUUCAGAAACCUGUGAUGUAGGUUUCUGUCUGUCAGGAAGAGUCAUCACUUCCCUCAUCUGCUCUUAACACUGGGAAAUGGGGCAUCUAGUCCACUGUUAGCACAUACCUAUAACACACAUCAAAGCGUGCUCAUGUGCUCUCUCUCUCUCUCUCUCUCUCUCUCUCUCUCUCUCUCUCUCACACACACACACACACACACACACACACACACACACACACACACACACGCCCCUCUUCUGGCCCUAAAACCUCCCCUCUAACUUCUAGGCUGUUCCGAUCUCCAGGCUCCCUGCCUUCUCAGUCUGUUUCUUUAAAACUGACAAGACUUGGCCCGGAGAGAUGGCUCAGCGGUUAAGAGCACUGCUGUUCUUUCAGAGGUCCUGAGGUCAAUUUCCAGAAACCACACGGUGGCUCACAACCAUCUGUAACUACAGUCCCAUGAGAUCCAAUGCCGUCUUCUGGUGUGCAGAUGUACAUGCAAACAAAACACCCAUAUACCAGCUAGGCAUUGUGGCACACGCUUUUAAUACCAACACUUGGGAAGCAAAGGAAGUUCGAGGCCAGCCUGGUCUACAAAGUGAGUUCCAGGAUGGACAGGGCUACACAGAGAAACCCUGUUUCAACAAACAAACAUAACAACCCCCCCCCAAAAAAAACCACCCAUAUACAUAAAAUACAUAAAUAAGUAAAUCUUAAAAAAGAAUAGAAACUGGUCAGACUUUCCCUACCUUCUGUUAUCCCCUCUCCCCCCCUACAAGAGCUCACCAUGCAGUUUCAUAUUUCCAAUGAACCUUCUUUCUACCCUGGAGUGGUCUGGUUUGGGGGUGUCACUGCGCUCAGGGGUGAAAAGGCUGAAGGAGCAGCUUUCAGGUAAGAGUUCUGAACACUGGUCAGGCCAGCUCUCCAGCUGCUUCUGUUGUUUCCUUGUUGGUUUUUUGUUUUCCAAGACAGGGUUUCUCAGUGUAGCCCUGGCUGUCCUGGAACUCGCUCUGUAGACCAGGCUGGCCUUGACCUCAUUGAGAUCCGCCUGCCUCUGCCUCCCGAGUGCUGGGAUUAAAGGUGUUCGCCACCACCUCGCAGCUUGUUUUGUUGUUUUUAAGGUCUUGCUGCGGAGCCCUGGACGGCCUUUAACUGACACAGUAACCCUCUGGAUUCUGUUGACCUUGUGGGUGUGCACCAUCAGGCCCAGAUGUGCAUUCCUUUGAAAUCUUCUCUCUACCAAAGGUGGGCCUUUGCUCUGGAAUGAAAACAAACCCCAAGGCCUCCAGGACUCAAAUUUAUCUAGUGAAGAAGGAACAAGGUUGCUACUGCAUUGGCCAAGGAAAUAACCCCCUUGCCCAAACUCUGAGAAUUGGAGAAACAAAUACUGGGUGAAUAAUAGGAGGAGCCAGCCAGAUAGGUCAGCGCUCUUACCAAGCCUGAUGAUCUGAGUUCAAUCCCCAGGAUCCACAUAGUGGAGGGGAGAACUGACUGCCAAGUGAACCCACACACAUACGUCUGCACACAGAUGCAAUCAAUCAAUCAUGUAAUUAAAAUAUUUUGAAAGAGGGCUGGAGAGAUGGCUCAGUGGUUAAGAGCACCUACUGCUCUUCCAGAGGUCCUGAGUUCAAUUCCCAGCAACCACAUGGUGGCUCACAACCAUCUGUAAUGAGAUCUGGUGCCCUCUUCUGGCCUGCAGGCAUACAUGCAGGCAGAAUACUUUAUACAUAAUAAAUAAAAUAAAUCUUAAAAAAAAUAUUUUAAAAGAAAUGGCAGGGCUGAAGUGUAGAUCCCCUCUGCAAAACCUUGGGGCCAAGCCUGACCGGGAGGCGUAAGGGUCCUGUUGGGCACAGCCCUAGGAAAGUGAAAACAAAGCAAAGCUUUGAAAGUUAGGAACCCGAGUAUGGAGGCUAGAGAGGUAAGACUCACAGUGCCGAGAGUGCGAGCACUAUCUGUUGUAUGUCUCAGGGUCUGUUUCCACUCGACAACGAGCAAUCAGGAGGUACUGCCACUGCCCUCCUUUUAGAAACGGAGAAACCGAACAGAGGGCAAGUCAUUUGUCCCAACCAAACUGGAGAACAGCAGCGCAGGGUCUGGCGUCUGACGGGGCAGACUGUCCGUCUGUACAUUACCCAAAUAACUUGUGCAGUCAGGGGCCAGAAUUCAAAUCCAGCUCUGUCUGAUGGCCCCAUCCUGCCAUGUACCCAAACCAGGAAGUGCAGGGGCCAGAACCGAGGGACAGGGAGAUGAUGGAAAGUAUAUGUGACUGGUUCUGAGAAGCAGGGUCUAUCCGGACACGGAAAGGGCCCUUUGAGGAAAAAAGUUGUACCUCCUGGCUUGCUGGCUGAGGACAGGAAAUAAGCUAGCAAUCAGCAACCUGCCUAAAGGAGCUUGGGGAGAGCUGUGAGAGAAAAUGGGGUUUCAUUUGCCUCCUAAGCCCUCGUGAACCAGUUUGAUACCAAGGGAGAUAGCACAGGUCUACAGUCUCAGCAUCUGGGAAGCGGGAACAAGAGGAUCAGAAGUUCAAAGUCAUGCUCAGCUACAUAGUGUACUUGAGGCUAGCCUGGGCUACAUUCCAUUCUUGGAAUUUUCAGGCAAUUUAAAUUAAAGUUAGAGUCAGAUAGCCAGAGGGUAUGGUGGCAGCAGGCUUUUCAUCCCAACAGAGGCAGGUAGAUCGCUGUUAGCUUGAGACUAGUCUAGUCUACAUGGGGGAGGGAGUAUCCAGACUAGCUAAGGCUACACAAUUGAGAUCUUAUCUCAGAAAAAGAAAAAAGAGUCAGAGGUGUGUAUAGAGAUAUUGGGGGGGGGGGGGGUGAGAUGGGAAGAGAAUCAGAGUGGUAGAUCAGUCGCCUAGCAGACAUCAAGUCCUGGGUUUGGUUCCCAGGAUCCCCUGCUCUUCAAUGAAGUGAAGAGGGAUGUGGUCCCUAACAAACAAAGAGGCGACGCUGUAUGCAGAGAUGCUGCAAGAGCGAGAAACGGAGGACAGGGCGUCUCCAACAGAUGAUGCCCAGUCCUCCCGAGCCCAGUGGAAGAAAGUAGAGAGUGAGAAGUGUUGAGAUCGGGUGGUCGGGGGGUAAACAGUGAGGCUUGUAGCAUGUGCAGCUCCUGAAAGCUGCCAGAAUCAAUAACAGUGAAGCUGGUUCCCAACAGGGUGUGUGUGUGUGUGUGUGUGUGUGUGUGUGUGUGUGUGUGUGUGUGUGUCCAGAAGUGUCAGCCCUGGCCUCUGGGGCCACAUCACAGGAGUGAGCUAUGGUGAGCAUCAGGGAAGUGUGAUUUAGAGUCCCAUUCCCACUGCCCUUCAGUGUGCUGCAAGGACAGUUCAAUGUGAUGUGUAAUUACCACCGCCCCACAAGGCUGCACUGUACACAGAGCCCCCGCUCCCCCCUCCCUGCCGCCUGCUUUGCGACUGUAAAUCAGUUUUCAAUCCUGAGUGCUACCUGUAAUGUUCAGGCUCAAGAUCCGAAGCUCAUAUUCCUGUGUCCCUGGAGGGUAGUUCAGGCCCCGAGUAGCCCCUCCCCUAAUUCUAAUUCUGCCCUGUUCUUGUUCCCUGAUGCAGGAUGGGAUAGGCAUGGGGAAACUGGACUUGGCUGUAGGUGGCCCUGGGACCGUACUUCAGGUUCUGUCAGUCUCAGUCUACCCAGCAUGUGGCACUGUGGCCGUACUCCAGACCAGUAGGGCAGAAAGGCAUUGAACAUGACCCCUCCCCCAAAUGGCAACCUCUUCUCAGCCCUGCCAGAAGGGUGACAGCUUCCUGGGGAAUCUCCAAAACACAGUGCCCUUUCCAUGGGUUUAUUUAGAAAUGAGAAGUACCAGCCCUGGGCCUCCUCUGAUCUGGAGUGGAGAAGGACAUGGUGGACCUUGGAGGUAAGAAAAGGGCAAAUUUAGAUGGAGAUUCUUUCUGUUUUGUCUUGUUUUAAUUAGGUUUAUUUAUUUUAUUUUAUGUGUAUGAGUGGUUUGCCUGUAUGUGUAUGUAUUUAUUUGUACUAUAUAUGUUUCCGGUGCCCUCGAAGAUCAGAAGAAGAAUCAGAUUCCCUAGAACUGGAGUGACAGAUGGUUGUGAGCUGCCAUGUAGGUGCUGGGAAUCAAACCCAGGUCCUCUGCAAGAUCAACCAGUGCUCUUAACCACUGAGCCAUGUCUCCAGCCCCCUAGUUUUGUUUUUAAAUAGGGUCUCAUGUAGCCCAGGCUGGCCUCAAACUCUGUACUUCCUGACUACUAGGAAUACAGGCAUUCGUCACAGCCCAGUGUAUUUAGUACUGGGGAUCAAAUCUGGAGCUUUGUGCACACUAGGCAAGCGCUCUACCCACUGAGCCACACGACCCACCUUAAGACAAGGAUUCUAUAUAGUCUGGCUUUGAACUCAUAGAAAUCCACCUACCUCUGCCCCCGGAGUUAAGGGCAUGCACUACCACACCCAGCAAACAAGGAUUCUUUUAUUUUAUUUAUAUAUCUAUUUUAUGUGUAUGGGUGUUUGAUCUGCAUGUAUAUCUGCAUGCACCACAUGGAUCCCCUGGGAAUGGACUUACAGACAUACAUUUUUAAGCCAUCGUGUGGGUGCUGGGAAUCAAACCAGGGUCCUCUGAAAGAGCAAAUAGUGCUCUUAACCACUGAGCCAUCUCUUCAGCCUCAAGACAAGGAUUUGAGUCAUACCUAACAGGUAUCUGGAGCACAUCAUUUUUUAGGGAUUAGAUGUUUUCUUCUCCUCUUCCUGUCUCCUGUUCACUGGGAUGACUACAGCUGCCUCCUCGGUGACCUCCCUGGACCCACCUGGACCCUCUGAAGAGUCCUGCUGAAUGGGAGCCAGGACAAGCCUUUCCCGCUCCCCGUUAAGCUUGGUUUCUCUGUGUAGUCCUGGCUGUCCUGGAACUCUCUCUGUAGACCAGGCUGGCCUCAAACUCACAGAGAUCCACCUGCCUCUGCCUCCUGAGUGCUGGGAUUAAAGGCUUGCGCAGCAGCAGCAGCAGCAGCAGCAGCAGCAGCAGGGAAAACUUCAUCCAUGGCCUCUCCUGGCUGUGUCUGGAGCUGCCUUCUUGGAGAAGGACAAUCACUGGCUGGUGUUGCCAGAAAGCCAAGGCCAGCCCAAAUGGCUACCUUGUGUGGACCAGGCACUCCAGGUGGGUACCGAGGGGGAAACUCCUCCGUGCAUUACAAUCUCCACGAAGAAAAGGAGGCACGUGAACUGAAAGCACCUUUUGAAUAAGCAGCAUGAGGGAGAGAGCUGCUCUAAUCCCUAAAUGGCUUUGCUGACAGCGAGAAGCUUCCUGGUUGGGGGGAGACGGGGUGGGAAGUGAGGACACAUUUGUCAGGAACCAGCUCAGCAGUGCCCUUGUCCCCGAGCUUUUUUAUUCAUGACACGCUUCUGGCUAAUGGAACUCCGAGAUCUCUGACCUUGUGCUCCAUAUUCCACUUUUGUCCUGCCCCCACCCCACCCCCGCACCCCCAGAGCCUGGGCAGCCUUGUCCCUGCCUGUGUUAGAUGCUGAGGCUGCUGGAGCUGUGGUCUUGGACCCUAUGGGGACUGUGGCAUCUGUGUGCCUGCCAUGGCACGGUGAUUUGGGUGACAUGAAAAUCCCCGUGUGACCCUGUGUAAAGGUGUGGGUCUGCAUGCUAGUGGGUUUUGUCCAUUUAGACACUCUGGGAACCAGUACCAUUGUGCUGUUUGGGUGCCUGUGACCACCCCAUGUUGCUGUCCAUUAGCACUCCCCUCCAAUGGUGGGGGGGGGGGCAGGAGGGCCUUGGAGUCGCAAGAGCCGCGUCUCCCAGAUACCUUUCCAGUUCUGUUCAGCUUUUAGAGGGCUAAGGGGGUGUAGACAAAGGAGGCCCAGGAGAUGUGGAAACACGUUAUCCAUCUCCCUGCUUCUUCAUGAACCUACAGUCCCUGCUUGGCACUCUCUCUCGCUCUCUGGAUGGAUACAUGUGUGCACACACACACACACACACAUACACACACGCACGAACACACACACACACACACACACACACACACACACACACACACACACACCCCUUAGGAGCUGUAAAGGUCAAGACUCCUAUUCUAAUCUCCCAGUCCCCUUCACCUUGGAGCUGAACCAAAGCCAGUUUCUACGCAGAGAUGUGGGAGGGCAUUCCUAGUACUGGCUAAUAGAAUUCUCAGGAGGCUGAGACUCACUGUGACUGACGCAGGCCUCGGGGCACCAGGAGCUGGAAAGCUGCCCCUUGGACAUGGAACUUGUCAAGGUUAAUUGGUCUCAAUAUUGCUUUUUCUUUUUCCUUUCUCUCUCUCUUCCUUCAUUAGUGCUGGGGAUAAAAACCAGGGCUGCUUCUUUAUUUUUUUGUAUAGUGUGUGCAGUGUAUGUGCAAAUGUGCCUGUAUAUGUAGGCAUACUCACUCAUGCAUGUGUGUGUUAUGGCCAGAGAGGGGUGUUAGGGGUCUUUCUCUAUUGCUUCUCACCUUUUUUAGUUUUGUUUUGUUUGAGAAAAGAUCUCACUAUGUAGCCCUGGCUGGUCUGGAACUCACUAUGUGCUGGGACUAAAGGCAUGCUCCACCAUAUCUUACUAUGUAUGUAUGUGUGUGUAUGUAUGUAUGUGUGUACAUAGGUAUGCAUGUGUGUAUGUAUGUGUAUAUGUAUGUAUGUGUGUAUGUAUGUAUGUAUGUAUGUAUGUAUGUAUCUAUCUAUCUAUCUAUCUAUCUGUUUUUGAGUCAAGUUUUCUCACUGAACCUGGAGAUACCUGUUUUGACCAGACUAGCUGGCCAGCUAACCCCAGAGAUCCAUCUGUAUCUCCCUCCCUAGUACUGGGGUUACAGACAUGUACCACUGUGCCCAGCUUUUAUGUGGGUGCUGGGAUCUGGACUCACGUCUUCAUGGUCACACAGCACUCACUUUACCACUGAGCAUCUCCCCAGCCCUGGCACCUCUUAUCUACUAAGCAAUUAUUGUCCUGAAGCGCUGCCGCCCCCAAACUGGACCUACAUGCUCUCCUGCUCUUUCCUAAUGGAUUUCGGCCAGGGAAAGGACAGUAGAGUUCACAAGCUUAGGCAAUGUCCAUACUGAAAGUUCUCAGGAGGGCAUAAAACAGAAACUCUUGACACUGGUCCAGGAUGAUUAGUGGUAACAUUCUCCCCAAGGCUUCAAGGUCCUUUGUGCAGAGGACAAGUUUCUACUCCCCACUGCAGAGACAGCCGCCAGUCCCCAAGCUGGAGAGCUUCAGCCCUUAGCACAGGCUGCUAGCCAGUCAAUGUUUAGUCAAUAUUAACUGUGAAUGUCAGCGUACUCCCUGGUGAAGCGCCUCCGAGGAUGCUCAUCUUCUGGAGCCCUGGAGGUCGGGUGUGUGUUAGGGUGGGGAUGUGAAAGCUAAUCGUCAUUGUUGACAUGACUGGAUUUGGAGUCACCUAGGAGACACACCUCCAGGCGUGUCUAUGUGUACAUUUCCAAAGAGGUUUAAGUGAGGGGAGCCCUAUGCUGAAUGUGGGUGUCACAUCUCCAUGUGCUGGGGUCCUGGACUGAAUAACAAAAGGAGGAAGUGAACUGAGUCCAGCCUUCAUCUUUCUCUGCUUCCUGAUUGUGGAUGCCGCGUGACCAGCAAUCCGUGUGACAGCCGUCAUGCCUUCCCACUCACAAUGAACCAUGGCUCCUUAAACGAGGAGCAGGGCACACAGUCUGGCCCAGGGACCAGGAGCCAACCCUACGUUGUCUCUGAGAAUCACAAUCCUGGAUGGCAGCCGAUGGUGUGAGGAAGGACAUGGAACCCUCCGCCCUGCCCCCUCUUCCUGUCAGUGAGCAUCAGUGGGAAGCUCUUCCUAAGCCAGCCAAAUGCCUUGUCUUUCCUUCCCCAUCUAUCCCCACCUUCCUCAGACCUUGCCUCUGCCAGCUUGAGGCAGUCAGUGGAACAGCACUCUGGCAGGCAGCUAGCCAGGUCCGUCCUGGGGAAGUGGGGGGGGGGGGGCGCUGCAUCUUAUAGGAUUCCUCUAGGAAGCCUAAGAAAGCUGCUCUGGGCCCUAGAAAGACAGCCACAGAACCACACCUCCUGGCCCCCGCUGCCUCCUCUCCCUGUACCCCCAUGGGUGCUUGCCUCACAGUGUGGUAGUUCAAGAGAGUACAGAAUGGGAAUUGGAGAGGAAGGUGGUACAUCUUCUCCCCACUGACCACCACAGGGACUGGAAGGUAGACACCGGCCCUCCUCCCACGGCAUUGAACUUCAUAAAACCAAUUAAGACUUCAGGGCCAGGGCACACGGGAGCAAGCAGGAGUCCGCAGCUCUGGGUGACAUUGGGAGUCCACUCCAAGGACAGAGCAGAGCCUCCCAUCAAGUUACCAAGGCAACCGCAGCCCUGCAAGAUUCACAGCGAUUCUGGGAGAGAGCAGAGACUGACAGGAGCCGCAGACAGCAUGCCAGGGUUGGGAUGGAAAUAGGGAUAACAUGAUGAGUCCCAGGAUUUAACAGUCCUAUAGAUAUGCUUACAUAAUGCCCAACACUGGAUGUUGGUGCACACCUGUAAUCCGAGCACUGAGGAGGGAGAAAGGACAGUGGAGAAGCCGAGGCUAGCCUCAGUUACAUAGCCCUGUUUUAAGACAUCAAUGAGCAGGACAGGCUGCUCCCCAAACUUCGGCGUAUUUCUCUCUAAAAAUACCAACACAGGCUGGAGAGAUGGCUCAGAGGAUAAGAGCACUGAUUACUCGUCCAGAGGUCCUGAGUUCAAUUCCCAGCAACCACAUGAUGGCUCACAACCAUCUGUAAUGAGAUCUGGUGCCCUCUUCUGGUCUGCAGGAAUACAUGCUGUAUAUAAUAAAUAAAUAAAUCUUUAAAAAUACCAACACUCCUCCAGGCCCAGUCACA